UACGUAGGGCGCAAGCGUUGUCCGGAAUUAUUGGGCGUAAAGAGCUCGUAGGCGGUUUGUCGCGUCUGCUGUGAAAGCCCGGGGCUCAACCCCGGGUCUGCAGUGGGUACGGGCAGACUAGAGUGCAGUAGGGGAGACUGGAAUUCUGGUGUAGCGGUGAAAUGCGCAGAUAUCAGGAGGAACACCGAUGGCGAAGGAGGUCUCGUGGGCUGUUACUGACGUGAGGAGCGAAAGCAUGGGGAGCGAACAGGAUUAGAUACCCGCGUAGUCC
Molecule: ribosomal RNA, 271 nt
Filed under: uncultured bacterium
Lineage: Bacteria
Description: partial 16S ribosomal RNA
Rfam family: Bacterial small subunit ribosomal RNA
Source: RNAcentral